Long non-coding RNA from Bactrocera dorsalis (oriental fruit fly), 2373 nucleotides. RefSeq lists it as uncharacterized. The record is from RefSeq and is a predicted model, not a curated record. NCBI's taxonomy places the organism in Eukaryota, Metazoa, Arthropoda, Insecta, Diptera, Tephritidae. The transcript is spliced from 2 exons.
AAGUUUACCUCCGAGUAUUCUUCGAAGUAUUCAAAACCAUAACAAUAGUUUCUUACAACAUUUUAUUGAUUUAUAACAAAUAUAGAAUAUCAUUCGACACUCACACACACUCUACCAAUCAUACCCCCACAUUGGCCCCUUCUACACAAUCCUUCCCCACAGCGCACUCCAAAUGCACGGUGAAAGGCCAAUUUUAUUUGAAUAACAGAAAGUUUUCUUCUUCGGCAAAUAAGUUCACUUAACUGUCAAUUACAGUCCACUCCAUUCGGUUGUUCUCCUCUCUUCGCCUCUAUGCGAUUUGCCUUGCAAUAAAAUAUCUGACGUGAAUUUCACUCCCUCAACCAAAACUGAACUCAAAUCGAAUUUGAACUUUGCAGACAUACAGACACUGUACGAUUCCGUCAAAUGCCGCAGCGACUUGACUCCCACAGUCUUCCGCCGAAGUGGUGUCAUUCAAGUUUAUGAAACAAAAUAAGGAGUAAACAAAAAAGUGUAGAAGGGCACGACGGGCAACCUAAAGAAAGGCGAUGCUUCAUAUUGUCGAACGAGACAUAAAAAACAAAAGAGAGGAAAAUGGGAGAGGAGGCGAUGCCACUGUGCCAAAGCGAUUGCAGUUACCGUAAGAGAAUGUUAAAGAAAUUACACACAGCAGGGCCGAUAACGUGUCGUGAAUACUUUGAGGUGAAAAUACGUCUAGAAUUCUCAAAGGGGAAUAGGUGAAUUUCAACAGAGACGCUGAGUAUUUGCAAAAUUAGCCUGAUAUGGGUGAUAAAUCUUUAAAGCCCUUUCGCGAAAGCUAAUAGACGAGUCACAGCUGGAAAUGGCGAGGGCGGGUGAAAAAUUAAUGAAAUUGUGGGAGAUGCUUCAAAUUUUCGCAGAAAAAGAAUUCGAGAAAAGAAACCUAGGGCCAAAAUAACGCAAAAUCAAUUUAAGAUCAAUAAAUGUAUACAUAUUACACACACAACAUGCGCACAGACACACAUACAAACGGUAUUUACCACUCAGCUGUCGCUAACAGCUUCCGACCUCGCGCGGUGCUGUCGUAUCUCCGCUGAGUUUCACUUUAUGCUCGCAGUGACAUUUACGACGCAGAUAAGAACAGCGAAAACAACAGGGAAUUCGGAAUGAGCCAGCUUUUUGCUUACAUUUUGCCAGUCACGACAGGAUAUUAGAUAGUGACAAAAAGGCUGCCGGCCGCCAUCUUGAAGUUGCGCCAACAGCGAUGUCACCAAAGGCAGCGGAAUUAUCAAAGUUGUAGUUUGCUGCACACCAAAUUCGCCGAAGCCUUGGUCGGUAUGAUGCCGGGCAGUGGUGCCCCGAGGUAGAGCAUCCUUAGUAAUGCUAAAAUAUUGCUGCAGCUCACCUCUUCCUGAGUUUGGCAAAGGGGGUGUUCAGUGGGUUCAUGGGUGUUUUUCGCAUCAAUUUAUUAAUAAAACCCGUGUUUUUGCCUACCUUUUUCCGGACGAAUUUUUGAGCUUGCCAUGUAGUGAUUUUCUGUCGGUUGUCACUUUUUCGGAAAAAGUCAAAGUGAAAGCAAAAUAGAAAGAGUGAAGCAAUUCAACUUCGUUGCAGGGGAGCUUUCGGGAAGUUAUUAAGUGCUUUGCAAACGCGGCGGUUUCGCGGCUACUCACACAAGUGCCUAACUGCAUGCAUAUAGGCUUAUAUGUGUGCACUUAUGAUUUCGGCUGUUCACGUCGGCUGUUGAUGGCUGAAAGUUGAUUGUUUCUGCGCCCAUCAUCGAUAUGUUGACGUACUGCAUUUUUGCCUUUCUGCUGCUCUGCGCCCUGUACAUCGCCGUCUUUGUUGCCUACGACAUUCUGUUUUGGAUGUACCGUUGGUUGAGCCGCCGAAUACGCUCCACACAAGAGCCGCAGCCGCCGCCCAAUACACCACGUGCUCUCAAUCUGACCGAGUAGUGACCGACGGCGUUGCAAAUCCUAAAACUUGACGAAGAACUUUUACAAAGGGAAGUGCGAGUAAUUGAAUGAAUUUCUGUCUAGAAAAGUCUAAAACCUAGGGAAACGGAUAACUGUUUCUACGUUAAAACGUGCAGUACUCGCUGCUUUCAGCACUGUUCGCAAGCACCGACACAAAUUCAUCAAACUCUGCAUCAUUUAACAAUUUCGGGAAAAAUUUACCACUUUGAAGACUCUUCACUGUUUUACCAACAAAUAUUUCUGGCAGAAUUUAUUAUGCGUACUAACCGACUUAUUCCGGACUCAAAAGUGACUUUAAUCCUAACAUUUGCCUAAACAGAGCGAUACGAAUGAGAUAAAGUAUCAAAGAAAUUAAUUAAAUUAAAAACUUAUAACCAAUUCACUGUAACGCAAUCUCAAUUCCAAAGAUAUGGACUCUUUCAAAAUUAACAUUCAG